Molecule: ribosomal RNA, 253 nt
Filed under: uncultured bacterium
Lineage: Bacteria
Description: partial 16S ribosomal RNA
Rfam family: Bacterial small subunit ribosomal RNA
Source: RNAcentral
UACAGAGGUCUCAAGCGUUGUUCGGAUUCAUUGGGCGUAAAGGGUGCGUAGGUGGCGCGGUAAGUCGGGUGUGAAAGCCCCGGGCUCAACCUGGGAAUUGCAUUCGAGACUGCGUAGCUAGGGUGCGGAAGAGGGAAGCGGAAUUUCCGGUGUAGCGGUGAAAUGCGUAGAUAUCGGAAGGAACACCAGUGGCGAAAGCGGCUUCCUGGUCCAGCACCGACGUUCAGGCACGAAAGCGUGGGGAGCAAACAGG